CACACUUCCAAAUAUUGCUUUAAGCAGCCAUUUUGUUUUCCACUUAAAAAUACUUCAUGAUACUCAACAGUCUUUAAAUACAUGGUGUAUAUUUCAGAAAAGACUCAAACCUUUUAAGAAGUAAUGAACUAUCUAUCAGAACAAUGUCAGUGUUACGGUAGUCCCCACCACCAAGUUUAAGAUGGACAAUUUAAUUAGGUAUCUGGGUGAUUCCUAUAUUUAAGUCACCCUGUGUCUAUUGUAGGUGCAAGAUGUGUGGUUGUUUGGGGUUAAAUGUUAAUGUGCUCUCCUGUCUUGCUAAUGCUUGCAAUCAACUUGGUGGAUUUGGCUGUGGAGCCUGUACAGCGACACCUGUUGGUUGCAAGCAUCCAGCAACAGCUGAAUGCAAUUAUGCGCUACCUGAAUAGCAAGGCUAGCUAAUUUUGAUACUUGGAUAGAUUUGCAUCUAGUUAAUUCUGCAGAUAGGAGAGAUAAUUUCUGUUAAUUAUUGUCUUUCCCACUCCUUUAUAAAUAUGUCAUUAUGUUAUUAAAGGUUGCUGUAUGUUGUCUAAUGUGAUUUGACUGUUUGUAUUUUUAUUGGGUUGUCACAGUAAUCUAUAUGUAAUAAACAUAUGGGCUACUCCCAAGAAAAAUAAAGUUUUGUAUGUUAAUUCCUUUUGGAACUUGUGUCCUGUGUGGAUUUGUAGGGAUCCCAGUGACAGAGUCUUCGGACCUGUUUGGUGGUUGCAGGAUCCCUCCAGCACUGGGAUAAAGCCAGAGAGCUAGGCCUGAGAGCCUCAAGUGUCUUUGUAAAGGCAAUAACUAUUAUCACAGUAAGCAGAGCUCCAGAGGAAUAGGCAGAGAGCAUGAUACCUGCCUGGAAGGCAAAGCUGCAAAGGAAUAAGCAGCCUGGAAGGAGAGCUGCCUGAAAGGAGGGCUGCAGCGGAAUAGGCAGUGGGGGUGAUACAGAGCUGCAGCCUGGUCGGGAGGAAAAGCUCCGGAGAGACCCCAGUCAACCUUUGGUGACUGAGGCUGAAGUUUUCCAGGGUCCCUGAAAGUGGCUAGGAAGUGGACUGGGCAGAGGUACUCGGUCGGAGUACAGGAGCUCCGUCACAGUCAGUAUUGAUCAUUUAUAUUAAAAAGUAUUUUAUCUGCCCUGGGUGAGAUAUAAGGGAGAUUUGCCACACUGAUGUUUUAUCUGUUGGAGGAAAUAAGGUUUUCUGAAAUUUCACGAUUAAUA
Pelobates cultripes (western spadefoot toad) is the source of this 1219-nucleotide non-coding RNA. The record is from the annotation of a GenBank genome assembly. Lineage: Eukaryota; Metazoa; Chordata; Amphibia; Anura; Pelobatidae.